CCUACCACUUCCGGGCCCCCAGCCGCAUCUUCUGGCGGACCGUGCGAGGUAUGCUGCCCCACAAAACCAAGCGAGGCCAGGCCGCUCUGGACCGUCUCAAGGUGUUUGACGGCAUCCCACCGCCCUACGACAAGGUGAGCUGUGCCAAACCCCACAGGCAGCGGCCUUACCUGUGGCGUCUGUGAUGUUCCGCAACUACCUACAUUGUUUGAUCCUCAUGAAAGCAGCACUGGCUGAGACGCCAGUCCAGCCGACCUCCUUCCCUGUCUGUCCCUCCCGGGCUCUUAAGCCCCUCUCUUUCUCUAACAGAAAAAGCGGAUGGUGGUUCCUGCUGCCCUCAAGGUCGUGCGUCUGAAGCCUACAAGAAAGUUUGCCUAUCUGGGGCGCCUGGCUCACGAGGUUGGCUGGAAGUACCAGGCAGUGACAGCCACCCUGGAGGAGAAGAGGAAAGAGAAAGCCAAGAUCCACUACCGGAAGAAGAAACAGCUCAUGAGGCUACGGAAACAGGCCGAGAAGAACGU
RNAcentral lists this small RNA (521 nucleotides) under Pan troglodytes (chimpanzee). Its description in RNAcentral is "retained intron". The stretch from base 174 to 244 matches the Rfam family "Small nucleolar RNA SNORD34". Lineage: Eukaryota; Metazoa; Chordata; Mammalia; Primates; Hominidae. The record is from RNAcentral.